This 74-nucleotide transfer RNA is filed under the name Navicula veneta. Its description in RNAcentral is "tRNA-Pro". It matches the Rfam family "tRNA". Rfam says of the family: Transfer RNA (tRNA) molecules are approximately 80 nucleotides in length. Their secondary structure includes four short double-helical elements and three loops (D, anti-codon, and T loops). Lineage: Eukaryota; Bacillariophyta; Bacillariophyceae; Naviculales; Naviculaceae. RNAcentral also lists the same sequence under 1 other name. The record is from RNAcentral.
CGGGAUAUAGCUCAGCUUGGUAGAGCGCUUGCUUUGGGAGCAAGAUGUCGUAGGUUCAAAUCCUACUAUCCCGA